AACGAACGCUGGCGGCAUGCCUAACACAUGCAAGUCGAACGGGACCUUCGGGUCUAGUGGCGCACGGGUGCGUAACGCGUGGGGAUCUGCCCUUAGGUACGGAAUAACUCAGGGAAACUUGAGCUAAUACCGUAUAAUGACUUCGGUCCAAAGAUUUAUCGCCUAGGGAUGAACCCGCGUAGGAUUAGCUUGUUGGUGAGGUAAAGGCUCACCAAGGCGACGAUCCUUAGCUGGUCUGAGAGGAUGAUCAGCCACACUGGGACUGAGACACGGCCCAGACUCCUACGGGAGGCAGCAGUGGGGAAUAUUGGACAAUGGGCGAAAGCCUGAUCCAGCAAUGCCGCGUGAGUGAUGAAGGCCUUAGGGUUGUAAAGCUCUUUUACCCGGGAAGAUAAUGACGGUACCGGGAGGAAUAAGCCCCGGCUAACUUCGUGCCAGCCGCCGCAGUAA
Molecule: ribosomal RNA, 450 nt
Filed under: uncultured bacterium
Lineage: Bacteria
Description: bacterial SSU rRNA
Rfam family: Bacterial small subunit ribosomal RNA
Source: RNAcentral